Molecule: ribosomal RNA, 420 nt
Filed under: Pseudomonas aeruginosa
Lineage: Bacteria; Pseudomonadati; Pseudomonadota; Gammaproteobacteria; Pseudomonadales; Pseudomonadaceae
Description: partial 23S ribosomal RNA
Rfam family: Bacterial large subunit ribosomal RNA
Source: RNAcentral
UGUGAGGCAUGCUGGAGGUAUCAGAAGUGCGAAUGCUGACAUAAGUAACGAUAAAGCGGGUGAAAAGCCCGCUCGCCGGAAGACCAAGGGUUCCUGUCCAACGUUAAUCGGGGCAGGGUGAGUCGACCCCUAAGGCGAGGCCGAAAGGCGUAGUCGAUGGGAAACAGGUUAAUAUUCCUGUACUUGGUGUUACUGCGAAGGGGGGACGGAGAAGGCUAUGUUAGCCGGGCGACGGUUGUCCCGGUUUAAGCAUGUAGGCUGAUUGUCCAGGCAAAUCCGGAUAAUCAAGGCUGAGGUGUGAUGACGAGGCACUACGGUGCUGAAGUAACAAAUGCCCUGCUUCCAGGAAAAGCCUCUAAGCAUCAGGUAACAUUAAAUCGUACCCCAAACCGACACAGGUGGUCAGGUAGAGAAUACCAA